CCUGGUGGUGGUGGUGGUGGUGGGGGGUUGCUCCGAUUUCCGACCUCAGAUCGGACGAGAUUACCCGCUGAAUUUAAGCAUAUCACUAAGCGGAGGAAAAGAAACU
Molecule: ribosomal RNA, 106 nt
Filed under: Turris kathiewayae
Lineage: Eukaryota; Metazoa; Mollusca; Gastropoda; Neogastropoda; Turridae
Description: partial 28S ribosomal RNA
Rfam family: Eukaryotic large subunit ribosomal RNA (bases 41-106)
Source: RNAcentral